AUACGGAGGGUGCAAGCGUUAAUCGGAAUUACUGGGCGUAAAGCGUACGUAGGCGGUUCGUUAAGUUAGAUGUGAAAGCCCCGGGCUUAACCUGGGAACUGCAUUUAAAACUGGCGGACUAGAGUUAAGUAGAGGGGAGUGGAAUUUCAGGUGUAGCGGUGAAAUGCGUAGAGAUCUGAAGGAACACCAGUGGCGAAGGCGACUCCCUGGACUUGAACUGACGCUGAGGUACGAAAGCGUGGGUAGCAAACGGGAUUAGAUACCCCAGUAGUCC
RNAcentral lists this ribosomal RNA (274 nucleotides) under uncultured bacterium. RNAcentral describes it as "partial 16S ribosomal RNA". It matches the Rfam family "Bacterial small subunit ribosomal RNA", at positions 523 to 796 of the family's 1533-position model. The record is from RNAcentral.